This 253-nucleotide ribosomal RNA is filed under the name uncultured bacterium. RNAcentral's name for it is "partial 16S ribosomal RNA". It matches the Rfam family "Bacterial small subunit ribosomal RNA", at positions 524 to 776 of the family's 1533-position model. The record is from RNAcentral.
UACGUAGGGGGCAAGCGUUGUCCGGAUUUAUUGGGCGUAAAGAGCGUGUAGGCGGCUUGGAAGGUCCGUUGUGAAAACUCGAGGCUCAACCUCGAGACGCCGAUGGAAACCACCUAGCUAGAGUCCGGAAGAGGAGAGUGGAAUUCCCGGUGUAGCGGUGAAAUGCGCAGAUAUCGGGAAGAACACCCGUGGCGAAGGCGGCUCUCUGGGACGGUACUGACGCUGAGACGCGAAAGCGUGGGGAGCGAACAGG